RNAcentral lists this ribosomal RNA (675 nucleotides) under Triticum aestivum (bread wheat). Its description in RNAcentral is "partial small subunit ribosomal RNA". Lineage: Eukaryota; Viridiplantae; Streptophyta; Magnoliopsida; Poales; Poaceae. The record is from RNAcentral.
AUGGCGGAGGAACCGUCCGCCAAGUGUCACCAUGGCGAGACUUCGAACAAGAGCAGCAACCUCGUCGACAUUCACGUCCCCGGCAAGAAGCACGAGUACACCAAAAUGCUCAAAAGGGUUGAGCUCCACGGCAAGGAGACGCUGGAGAUCGUCUGCACCAGCAUACCAGACAAGGCCGACGAGGUGAUGAGCAAGCUCAGGAUGAAGGGCGGCGGCUUGUAUCCGAGCUUCAUCGGAGUUGAUGUGGAGCCCAAGCGCCUCAAAGACUUCCUGCAGGAGGAGAAAUUGUACAUAUUUGUCGGUUUCAACAUUGGAGGUGACAAGCGGAUGCUGGAGAAGUCUGGUUUGGAAAUCAACCCCAACAACUUCAUCGACAUGCAGCGCAAGUGGAAAGAUCCAAAGACCAAAAAAUACUACGACUCCUUGGCCGAUGUUGCAGGCGGAGUCAUCCACCCAUUCUACGAAGGCAUGAAGAAGAAGAUAAACAGGGCAGACCACAAACUGUGGGGGACCAGUCCGCUACCAGACAACCUCAUCACGUACGCAGUAAUAGAUGCGUACGCAACGUACAAGUCAUGGAAGACAAUCGACAACAUCGUGACAGGUUGGGAUAUUUCAAAAGAGCAGGAGGCUGGCCCCUACUACCACUACAACUUCGCGGAUGAAGAUGCAUGA